GAUCCUGGCUCAGAACGAACGCUGGCGGCGCGCUUAAGCAUGCAAGUCGAACGGCAAGAGGUAGCAAUACCUCCUAGAGUGGCGGACUGGUGAGUAACACGUGGGUGACAUACCCUUCAGAUGGGGAUAGCUAUUAGAAAUAGUAGAUAAUACCGAAUACGAGCACAGGGGUUAGAGAUCUGUGAGGAAAGGAGCUAAGGCUCCGCUGAAGGAAUGGCCUGCGGCCCAUUAGCUAGUUGGUGAGGUAAGAGCCCACCAAGGCGAUGAUGGGUAUCCGGCCUUAGAGGGUGAACGGACACAUUGGGACUGAGAUACGGCCCAGACUCCUACGGGAGGCAGCAGCUAAGAAUAUUCCGCAAUGGACGAAAGUCUGACGGAGCGACGCCGCGUGGAUGAAGAAGGCCGGAAGGUUGUAAAAUCCUUUUGAAACUGAAGAAUAAGCGUUGUAGGGAAUGACAGCGUGGUGACAGUAGGUUUUGAAUAAGCAACGGCUAAUUACGUGCCAGCCGCUGC
RNAcentral lists this ribosomal RNA (513 nucleotides) under uncultured bacterium. RNAcentral's name for it is "bacterial SSU rRNA". It matches the Rfam family "Bacterial small subunit ribosomal RNA", at positions 15 to 518 of the family's 1533-position model. The record is from RNAcentral.